RNAcentral lists this ribosomal RNA (465 nucleotides) under uncultured bacterium. RNAcentral's name for it is "partial 16S ribosomal RNA". It matches the Rfam family "Bacterial small subunit ribosomal RNA", at positions 28 to 507 of the family's 1533-position model. The record is from RNAcentral.
GACGAACGCUGGCGGCGUGCUUAACACAUGCAAGUCGAGCGGUAAGGCUCCUUCGGGCGUCCACGAGCGGCGAACGGGUGAGUAACACGUGAGUAACCUGCCCCAUUCAUCGGAAUAACCAGUGGAAACGCUGGCUAAUGCCGAAUACGACCACCGAAGGCAUCUUCUGGUGGUGGAAAGCUCCGGCGGAGUGGGAUGGACUCGCGGCCUAUCAGCUUGUUGGUGAGGUAACGGCUCACCAAGGCGACGACGGGUAGCCGGCCUGAGAGGGUGACCGGCCACACUGGGACUGAGACACGGCCCAGACUCCUACGGGAGGCAGCAGUGGGGAAUAUUGGACAAUGGGCGAAAGCCUGAUCCAGCAACGCCGCGUGAGGGAUGACGGCCUUCGGGUUGUAAACCUCUUUCAGCAGGGACGAAGCGAAAGUGACGGUACCUGCAGAAGAAGGACCGGCCAACUACGUG